Molecule: ribosomal RNA, 253 nt
Filed under: uncultured bacterium
Lineage: Bacteria
Description: partial 16S ribosomal RNA
Rfam family: Bacterial small subunit ribosomal RNA
Source: RNAcentral
UACGAAGGGGGCUAGCGUUGUUCGGAAUUACUGGGCGUAAAGCGCGUGUAAGCGGGCUUUUAAGUCAGGGGUGAAAUGCCAAGGCUCAACCUUGGAACUGCCUUUGAUACUGGAAGUCUUGAGUCCGGGAGAGGUGAGUGGAACUGCGAGUGUAGAGGUGAAAUUCGUAGAUAUUCGCAAGAACACCAGUGGCGAAGGCGGCUCACUGGCCCGGAACUGACGCUGAGACGCGAAAGCGUGGGGAGCAAACAGG